Humulus lupulus (European hop) is the source of this 1504-nucleotide long non-coding RNA. RefSeq lists it as uncharacterized. NCBI's taxonomy places the organism in Eukaryota, Viridiplantae, Streptophyta, Magnoliopsida, Rosales, Cannabaceae. The transcript has 2 exons. The record is from RefSeq and is a predicted model, not a curated record.
GGGAUGAUUAUGUUGUUGAUAGUUUUUUGUCAGCAUUGGUGUUGAUAAAAUUUUGUUUUGGCAUGUUGAUGUGUUAUAUACUUCUAUUCUUUUAAUGACAGUUUAUAUUAUAAUUAUUUAAAAUGUCUUAUAAAUUUAAAUUAUUUUUGAAUAAUUUACUAUGUUAAAAACAAGAUUCAAACUUUUUGUGUGUACGUAUAUAACAAAUUGUUUGAAUCUUAUUUUUGGCACCAUAAAUUAUUUAUAAUAUUUUAAACAUUUGUGAGAAAUUCUAAUAAAUGAUUAUAAUAUACACAGUUAUAAGUAAUGAAACAAAAUUUUGUCAAUGCUGGUGUUGACAAAAUGACUGUCAGCACCAUAAUCGUCUCUUAUGUUAUAUAUAUUUGAUUAUUUAAUUGCUUGUUGGUCCUUGAAGAGUUGAUGAAUUACAUACAAUAAAGAUGUUUCUAGCCAGCAAAGUGGUACGUACUUUUAAUAUACACAAUUUAAAUAAUCUAUAUCUAUAUAUCUAAAUCUAAUAUAUGUUGAGGUGACAUUCUAAAAUUUCAACAUUCUAUAUUAUCUAAUUUUUCAUUUUUUUUUUCAAUUUUCCAGAUUUAACAUCCAACUGUAACGCAAUUUUCCUUUACUCAAUUCCAUUAUUUAAUUUUUAAGUUUUAUCCUAAUGUCACACAUAAAUAAAUACAAGAGAAAGUUAAAAAAAACGUGUAAAUAUAUAUUUAUAUAUAUAUAUAUAAAGUUUUUUCUUUCUUUCUCUUUUUUAUGAGUUCUACCGAAAUCUAUUCUUUCUCUACUAUCUGUAUGUGUUGGAAGGUGGAAUAUGAGGUGUAUGAUAAUAAUAAUAAGAUUUUAUCUCAAAAUAAUUUGGUGAUGAAUAAAGUACCCUAUACUGUAUUAUUGUGAAAUAUUUUCUCUGGCAGUGCGAGUGUGUUCUUUGGUAAUCUUCUUCUUCAUUUCUUGGAUUUAGAUUACAAUAUGAAUUUCUUCUUGGUGGUCCUUAGUGGUAUUGAUGGAUCAACAGACUUAAAGGAUGCUGGGCGGAGGCGGCGUUGAGGUGCUGAGAGCUCACAGUUUCGACCCAAACGAAUGAUGUUCAAUGGGACUCGCGCGCGGUUUCAAUGGCGUUGAGGGCUUGUGCGCGGCGUUGAGGGUGGCGGGAAUAAUGAGAUGGGGAGAAAGAGAAGUCAAGAAGAGCAGAAAAAAAUAAUGAACAUAAGAAAAAAGGAAUAAAUUCACACAAAUCUUAAGCUUUGAUGAGUUUCUGAGUUGUGUGGUGGCCAUGGGUGAUCUGAAAGAGAAAGAGAAAGAGAGAUCAAUGGAGUUUGAGGGAGAAUAGGACUUGCUAGUUUUGGUUGAUACGUGUUUUUUUGAUGGAAUUUAUGAGAAAUAUUUUUCAUUCACUUUUCUUUUCUUUUCUUUUCAUUUUUUCACUUCAAUUAAUGUGGACAGUGGGCAUCGACCCUUGUUUGUUUUGGUAAUCCAAUACUAAAAUCAUUAUUCUCAA